This 85-nucleotide transfer RNA is filed under the name Vibrio cholerae. RNAcentral describes it as "tRNA-Leu". It matches the Rfam family "tRNA". From Rfam's summary of the family: Transfer RNA (tRNA) molecules are approximately 80 nucleotides in length. Their secondary structure includes four short double-helical elements and three loops (D, anti-codon, and T loops). Lineage: Bacteria; Pseudomonadati; Pseudomonadota; Gammaproteobacteria; Vibrionales; Vibrionaceae. The record is from RNAcentral.
GCGGAAGUGGCGAAAUUGGUAGACGCACCAGAUUUAGGCUCUGGCGCCGCGAGGCGUAAGAGUUCAAGUCUCUUCUUCCGCACCA